This 302-nucleotide long non-coding RNA is filed under the name Elaeis guineensis (African oil palm). RNAcentral's name for it is "long non-coding RNA (EGUI_LNC030411)". The record is from RNAcentral. Lineage: Eukaryota; Viridiplantae; Streptophyta; Magnoliopsida; Arecales; Arecaceae.
UCCCCCCCCUCCUUUUUUUUUUUGUAGUACUCGUGGAUCCAUCAAAUAAUAAUUCUACUUGAAACUAUCACAUGCAUCAUAGCAUCAUAGAUCCACCAUUAAGUGAUGAUAGGAGACAGAAAAGGAAAAGUUUUUUUUUUUUUUAAGAUGUUUUUUUUUGGGGGGAAAGUGGACAUUCCUUACAAAUUUAUUAAAAUGAAUUAGCGAAUGAGCGCAAAUUAUAGUGGAGGUUCAUAUAAUGGUGUUGUUGUAAGAUAAAAAUAGCAAGAGUUACAAGAAGGUUAAUACAUGACAACCGGUAG